RNAcentral lists this ribosomal RNA (165 nucleotides) under Saturnispora dispora. Its description in RNAcentral is "partial 18S rRNA". It matches the Rfam family "Eukaryotic small subunit ribosomal RNA", at positions 1484 to 1653 of the family's 1831-position model. The record is from RNAcentral. Lineage: Eukaryota; Fungi; Ascomycota; Pichiomycetes; Pichiales; Pichiaceae.
GGGCCGCACGCGCGCUACACUGACGGAGCCAGCAAGCUACCUUUGCCGAGAGGCCUGGGGAAUCUCGUGAAACUCCGUCGUGCUGGGGAUAGAGCAUUGUAAUUUUUGCUCUUCAACGAGGAAUUCCUAGUAAGCGCAAGUCAUUACUUGCGUUGAUUACGUCCC